Molecule: ribosomal RNA, 433 nt
Filed under: uncultured bacterium
Lineage: Bacteria
Description: partial 16S ribosomal RNA
Rfam family: Bacterial small subunit ribosomal RNA
Source: RNAcentral
AACGAACGCUGGCGGCAUGCCUAACACAUGCAAGUCGAACGAGACCUUCGGGCCUAGUGGCGCACGGGUGCGUAACGCGUGGGAACCUGCCCUUAGGUUCGGAAUAACUCCCCGAAAGGGGUGCUAAUACCGGAUAAUGUCUUCGGACCAAAGAUUUAUCGCCUUUGGAUGGGCCCGCGUUGGAUUAGCUAGUUGGUAGGGUAAAAGCCUACCAAGGCGACGAUCCAUAGCUGGUCGGAGAGGAUGACCAGCCACACUUGGACUGAGACACGGCCCAGACUGCUACGGGAGGCAGGAGUGGGGUAUAUUGGACGAUGGGCGAAGGCCUGAUCCAGCAAUGCCGGGUGAGUGAUGAAGGCGUUAGGGUUGUAAAGCUCUUUUACACGGGAUGAUAAUGACAGUACCGGGAGAAUAAGCACCGGCUAACUCCGUG